UUUUCCUUAUAUUUGCCCUAGCCCGUCACAGACACUGAUUGUUGUCUCUUUCUCACGCGUUGUCGUUCUGUCCCUCUGUCUCACUCUCUCUGUCUCUCUCUCGGUCUGAAUCUCUCAAUCUCGUUUUCUUUCUCCUUCAUGUUCUUCUCAAUCUCUCAAUCCCAAUUCUUUCGAACUCGAUUGAAGGGUUUGGAUCAACGGAUGACCCUUGCAAUUUCUAGGGUUUUCCAUGUCGAUUACAUCACCAAUGGGCGAAUUGAAGAUAGAAGAGAUGUCUCUCCCUGCUCUGUUCGAUCAGGCUCGAAAUUCAUCUAUCAGCUUCCGAAUCUGGCAUUGAUCAGGAAUUUAAAAACAUUUUUCCUAGUGGAGGUGUAGACCCCAGUUUUGAGAAGACAUUGUAGACAACCGUUAAUGUGGUUCUGUUUGUUGUUUUCGUGUUAUGCCGCUUUAGAGGCCCACUUGGCGCUUGGACACAUGAGCUUUCUAAUAAGUCAAUAAUCUACUUUGUGGGAUGCUGUGUGAACCGAAAUGCUGCAAGGAGCCACUCUGAAGUUUGAAACAGACCAAUAUAUCUCAAGAAAUCUUGACUUGGAGGUAAAUUUGUUCACAUUCCUUAAAAAUCACACUUACUAUCUGUAAGUUUAUCGUUGAUAAUUUUAGACACAGAUACACAUACAUCAUUGUUUCUCAAGCACCGACUGGGAAAUUUAUAGCUGGAGCAUCUCUUUUCUGGAGUAUUACAAUUCUGUGAAGGUUUUAUCAUUCAUGUGAUUAUGUGUUAGAGAAUGCAAGAAAGAAUGUUGUAUCCAUCACAUGCUUCAAAGGAGUUAUUAUUAUUUCAAUACCUCAAAAUGGUGCUUUUUUUUUUUUUUUUUUUUCUCUUCAAAAUACAACAAAUGCUUGUAAUUCGAGUUCAUUGUAAAAAUCAGAAAUUUGGGGACUGUUUAUUCUUAGAAGAUUGAUGAUACAUGCAUCUCAUCAAAGUAGAGCUAAUCCCAGUUGGGUUCAUAGGCAAUUUCAACACUUAGCAGAUACUAAAAGGUUGUUUCUUCCGUCUAAAAGAAGAACAGGCUAGAAGGCCCAUCACCAACUGUCAAAGCCAGCUUUACAGGUCCUUUUUGCACCUUGUUCAGCCGUGUAGUGUCCAUUAUUAAAGCUCAUGUCUGUUUUACAAAAGGCAGGAGUAGCUGAAUUUAUGCCAAAAUUUGGGAAUUUUUUAGCUAAAAACCUCGUAUAGGCAUUAAGAGCUGCUUUGGAGACAACAUAUGCAGAGCGAACAGACCAGCCUUUAACAAAUCCUCUUUAGCAUCCUGUAAAUACCAACUCACUACCUCAUCUACUCUCUAUUUUGUGAGUCCAUCAACAUCACUCAGUACCUCUCUUGCCCAUUCAUUUGUAACAUUUUGCAUAAAAACAUUUAGUUAUAUGUCACGGGCUAAAUUUAUAGCACAGUUUAACCAGCCUUUGAGGGAAAGUUUUUUACCUUUAGCUGCCCCAAACCGGAUGAGACAUUAACAAUUCUUACAGAACUAGAGAGCCGAAGAAGUGGAAUGAGAGCUUGAGAUAGCUGUUUAGGUCCGUAGUAAUUUGCAAGCCGUAAAAAUUCAAUUUUGUUGUAGUGAAGUUAUGAAUAUGAUGAUUGUCAUGGCUGUCACCUGUUAUCAUUGCUAUUGCUUUUGGGCUUUUGAUUUUGGAAAGAACUUCCUAAUAUCAAAUAUGAUUAAUUCAUGUGGAAUAAGCAUUAAUCAGAGUGAUCUCAUGAUUUUGGAGAGCCAUGUUGUAUACUCCUUAAGUAAAGAAAAGACAGCUGCUCACUUUUAUAUUAUGCAAAGCACCCAAUCAAUCAGGGAGGAUCUUCAAGUUCCUAUUAUAGAUGUUCUUGAGAGGUUUGUGCUGCUCACUACCAUUCUUUUGUUAAGCACCUGUUUGCUAAUUUGUUGUGGCAGGUAAAGGGUGAUAUACUUUUCAUCACAUGAGUAAGCCUUUUGAUGGUAAGGUUCAAAUGCCAAAGUAAUUUCAAUCUUUGUUGAUAUGUACCUUUAGUCAUUCAACUAAGGCAGACAGAGAUGAAAGUCUCACAAUCCUCAUUCCUAUAAUUUGCAUCGAAAGAGGAUGCAUUCUUUAUUUUUUUCCAAUCUUAUUAUUGAUUUGGUUUCUAACUUGCAAACACAAUCUUUCUUUCUUGGGGAAUUAUUUUUUGUAGAAACGUUGUAAGGCAGCAUACACCUUACCCUCCUUAGUCCCUGCUUUAGUGGGAGUUUUGUGCACUGGUUUGCUUUCUUUAUCCCACUGCUAAUGUGUGUUGUAUGUGUGUGUGUGUGUUUUUUUAUUUUUUUGUAAACCCAGGACUUGCAAUUAUGUCUCCUAUUGGUAAAAUGCUGUCAUGUUUACUGUUCCAUGCUGGUGUUGAAUUUGUGUAGGUCACCGCGCAUGUCAAAAGCCCAGAAAUACAAAUAAGUUGAUAUUUUUGUUCCACUAAACUGGAAUGGAGCUGUAUCUGUUCUAUUUGUUGGGUGGAAAUUGACUCCCUAAUAAUUUUUGAGAUGUUCAUGAUAGUAGGAAGAAACUCUUAGUAACAAAACAUGAUCUUUUUCCAAGUAGAAGGGUUUUGCUUGAUUUUUGUUGUGAAUCCCAAAGAUAACAUUCUAAUAAUUAUUAAAUUACUCCAAUGUUGUCCUAA
Camellia sinensis is the source of this 2680-nucleotide non-coding RNA. The record is from RefSeq and is a predicted model, not a curated record. NCBI's taxonomy places the organism in Eukaryota, Viridiplantae, Streptophyta, Magnoliopsida, Ericales, Theaceae.